RNAcentral lists this ribosomal RNA (194 nucleotides) under uncultured bacterium. RNAcentral's name for it is "partial 16S ribosomal RNA". It matches the Rfam family "Bacterial small subunit ribosomal RNA", at positions 338 to 524 of the family's 1533-position model. The record is from RNAcentral.
CCUACGGGAGGCAGCAGUGAGGAAUAUUGGACAAUGGACGCAAGUCUGAUCCAGCCAUUCCGCGUGCAGGAUGAAGGCCCUCGGGUUGUAAACUGCUUUUGUACGGAACGAAAAGGUUUGUCUUAAUACGAUGAGCUCAUGACGGUACCGUAAGAAUAAGCACCGGCUAACUACGUGCCAGCAGCCGCGGUAAU